RNAcentral lists this ribosomal RNA (253 nucleotides) under uncultured bacterium. RNAcentral describes it as "partial 16S ribosomal RNA". It matches the Rfam family "Bacterial small subunit ribosomal RNA", at positions 524 to 776 of the family's 1533-position model. The record is from RNAcentral.
UACAGGGGGGGCAAGCGUUGUUCGGAAUUACUGGGCGUAAAGGGCUCGUAGGUGGCCAACUAAGUCGGACGUGAAAUCCCUCAGCUUAACUGGGGAACUGCAUCCGAUACUGGGUGGCUUGAGUUUGGGAGAGGGAUGCGGAAUUCCAGGUGUAGCGGUGAAAUGCGUAGAUAUCUGGAGGAACACCGGUGGCGAAGGCGGUUCUCUGGGCCUUACCUGACACUGAGGAGCGAAAGCGUGGGGAGCGAACAGG